RNAcentral lists this ribosomal RNA (253 nucleotides) under uncultured bacterium. Its description in RNAcentral is "partial 16S ribosomal RNA". It matches the Rfam family "Bacterial small subunit ribosomal RNA", at positions 524 to 776 of the family's 1533-position model. The record is from RNAcentral.
UACGUAGGGGGCUAGCGUUGUCCGGAAUCAUUGGGCGUAAAGAGCGUGUAGGCGGUCCGGUAAGUCCGUUGUGAAAGUCAGGGGCUCAACCCUUGAAUGCCGGCGGAUACUGUCGGGCUAGAGUCCGGAAGAGGCGAGUGGAAUUCCCGGUGUAGCGGUGAAAUGCGCAGAUAUCGGGAGGAACACCUAUGGCGAAGGCAGCUCGCUGGGACGGUACUGGCGCUGAGACGCGAAAGCGUGGGGAGCAAACAGG